CUCAGGUAAUCCGCCCGCCUCGGCCUCCCAAAGUGCUGGGAUUACAGGCUGAGCCACCAUGUCCUGCCUAAACCAACUUUUGUGAAAUGGCUUUUUAAGGUAAUGUCAUGAACCACUUCAUUCCUCUGCCAGGGUCUUAUUUAACCCUUCAAAAACAUGGGUGGGCCCUAUAUAAUGUGACUUCAUUCUACAUUGGAUCCCCACAAAGCUAGUCUUGGCUUUUCACUUGGAACAUGCCCAAUGCUGAUACAAAGUAAAGAUUCACUAUAGAUCUUAUUGCUAUCCAUCGUACGUUAUAAAACUUGUCUAAAUAUUUAAAGGUUUAAAACAAGCCUGCGCAGUGGAUGUCAAGAGUAAAGUACGUUUCAUAGUAAAAUUAAAAUGCCAUUAAAAUUUUGUUCUUGUGGGGCUGGGUGUGGUGGCUCAUGCCUGUAAUCCCAGCACUUGAGGAGGCUGAGGCAGGCAGAUCACCUGAGGUCAGGAGUUCAAGACCAGCCUACCCAACAUGGUGAAACCCCUGUCUCUACUAAAAAUACAAAAAUAAGCCAGGCAUGGUGGCUGGUGCCUGUAAUCCCAGCUCCUCGGGAGGCUGAGGCAGGAGAAUUGCCUGAACCCAGGAGGCGGAGGUUGUGGUGGGCCGAGAUCACACCAUUGCAGUCUGGCCUGGGCGACAAGAGCAAGACUCCGUCUCAAAAAAAAAAAAUUGUUCUUGCUUUGUAAAUGCUGCUUUCUUUUCUUCAUUUUGGAGCGGGGAGCCUUGCCGAUAGUCAGUGACUUGUACAUUUGUUUACUGGCAUUUGAUAGGCUGCUCCUUAUCUUGCAUGAAAAAAUAAAGACCUAGCCAGUCUAAUCCUGCUGGGAUUCAUAUCAGUGGCCCCAGGGGGUUGAGAUGCUUCAAAGCUACUGUUUAAAUGGCAAAACCAAGUAUCUUACUUGGAUAAUACUAAAGUAUGUCCUUUAUGGC
This 964-nucleotide long non-coding RNA is filed under the name Homo sapiens (human). RNAcentral's name for it is "HSALNT0243277". Lineage: Eukaryota; Metazoa; Chordata; Mammalia; Primates; Hominidae. The record is from RNAcentral.